This 406-nucleotide ribosomal RNA is filed under the name uncultured bacterium. RNAcentral's name for it is "partial 16S ribosomal RNA". It matches the Rfam family "Bacterial small subunit ribosomal RNA", at positions 30 to 526 of the family's 1533-position model. The record is from RNAcentral.
AUUGAACGCUGGCGGCAGGCUUAACACAUGCAAGUCGAGCGAGUGGCGGACGGGUGAGUAAUGUCUGGGAAACUGCCUGAUGGAGGGGGAUAACUACUGGAAACGGUAGCUAAUACCGCAUACCAUCAGAUGUGCCCAAGUGGGAUUGGCUAGUAGGUGCGGUACAGGCUAACCUAGGCGACGAUCCCUAGCUGGUCUGAGAGGAUGACCAGCCACACUGGAACUGAGAAACGGCCCAGACUCCUACGGGAGGAAGCAGUGGGGAAUAUUGCACAAUGGGCGCAAGCCUGAUGCAGCCAUGCCGCGUGAGUGAAGAAGGCCUUCGGGUUGUAAAGCACUUUCAGCGAGGAGGCGUUACGCGCAGAAGAAGCACCGGCUAACUCCGUGCCAGCAGCCGCGGUAAUAC